Molecule: long non-coding RNA, 2126 nt
Organism: Amphiprion ocellaris (clown anemonefish)
Lineage: Eukaryota; Metazoa; Chordata; Actinopteri; Pomacentridae
Source: Ensembl
UGCACAUCUGGAGCAACACCAGACCCACUAUCCAGCUGUGGACCAGGACAUCUGGAGCAACACCAGACCCACUGUCCAGCUGUGGACCGGGACAUCUGGAGCAACACCAGACCCACUGUCCGGCUGUGGACCGGGACAUCUGGAGCAACACCAGACCCACUGUCCGGCUGUGGACUGGGACAUCUGGAGCAACACCAGACCCACUGUCCAGCUGUGGACUGGGACAUCUGGAGCAACACCAGACCCACUGUCCAGCUGUGGACUGGGACAUCUGGAGCAACACCAGACCCACUGUCCAGCUGUGGACUGGGACAUCUGGAGCAACACCAGACCCACUGUCCGGCUGUGGAAGAGGACUGAACGAUCAGUCCGGCUGCUGGUUCAUAGAUGGACAAAUAUUAGCACAAAUUCUGGAGUUUAGUUUGUUCCUCGUUGAAAAGACACAAAACGACAAAUCAGGUCACUGAGUGGUGGCAGCUGCUGAUUCCUAUAGGUCAUUUUGUGUUAAUUUGUGGUUCUUUGUGUCUUUUAGUGGUUGUUUUGUGUCUCUGUGUGGUUGUUUUGUGUCUUUUAGUGGUUGUUUUGUGUCUAUUUGUGGUUGUUUGUGUCUUUAGUGGUUGUUUUGUGUCUUUUAGUGGUUGUUUUGUGUCUCUGUGUGGUUGUUUUGUGCCCUUUAGUUGUUGUUUUGUGUCUCUGUGUGGUUGUUUGUGUCAUUUAGUGGUUAUUUUGUGUCUCUGUGUGGUUGUUUUGUGCCCUUUAGUGGUUGUUUUGUGUCUUUGUGUGGUUGUUUGUGUCUUUUAGUGGUUGUUUGUGUCUUUGAGUGGUUGUUUUGUGUCUCUGUGUGGUUGUUUUGUGUCUUUAGUGGUUGCUUUGUGUCUGUGUGGUUGUUUGUGUCUUUUAGUGGUUGUUUUGUGUCUCUUUGUGGUUGUUUUGUGUCUCUGUGGUUGUUUUGUGUCAUUUAGUGGUUAUUUUGUGUCUCUUUGUGGUUGUUUUGUGUCCUCGUCUACAGAAAUGUAUGUAUUUGUUCAUAAAGUUUUUAAAAUAGACGUCAUCAGCAGGAAUCCAGAAAGAGAAAAAUCAACACAUUGUUAGUUUGAACAUUUGCUUGUUUGUGUUUAAUAGUUGAACCUAGAGGUGUCAUUGAACCAGGAACCCUGUGAUCACAUGAUGAACUUGUUCAACCACUGCACCACAUGGUCAGCGGUUGAACUUCUCCUGGGAUUGGGUCUGGAUUGACGUCAGCACCACAGAAUGUGGAAACACCUGGGCUCCGUUUCAUGAAGCAGGUUCAACAAACUCUGAGUUUAACCCUGAACUCUGAGUUGAUCUACUCUGAGAUAGAAAACUCUGAGUUUUCGGUUUCACAACGGCUGAUUUGAGUUGGUUUAAUCAACUCAGAGUAGUUUCACCUGGAGUUAAGCGCGUGCACCACAACUCUGAAAAGCCAGUAUCAAUGGAGCGCCGAUUCGACGAGUCACCAUGGCAACGGGGAAGCGGAGGACUGCGUUUUUUACACCACUUGAACUGGACAUCUUAAUUCGUUCAUAUGGCGACUUCGAACACGUUUUUAGAAAGAAGUGCAACACCUGCAGCUGCAAAAGAGAGGGAGACGGUGUGGGAGAACAUUGCUGCCCUGUCAAUGCAUUGUGAUGGUGUUAUCUGCCUGGUGGAGCCCCUUCACACCACAACAGAGCUUGUAACUGAUGAAGAGGAUGAAACUGUGUCUGCUGCCUUUACAGAGGGGGAUCCAGAAAGGCAUCUGGAGAGCAUGGCUGGACAGCAGCAGGAUGCUUCCUCAACUUCCACUGCACAGAUUGACUCAGUAAGAUGGAUGUUCAGUAAACACCAGAGGUUCAUUCUGUGGAAUUCAUGUGCAACUGUAUAAUUUAAUGUCCUUUAUGUAUUCCCAGUUACCAGUAAAACAAAUAUACAAAAUCCACUUGCUGAGAAAAAUACAAAAAACAGAUAAAGAAAUGCAGUACUUGGACCACCAGAUUAAGAAGGCAGAUCUGGAAAUUGAAAUACUGGAGCACAAGUUAGAGGUGGAUGCAGGUCACAGGUGAAUUAUGUGAACUACUGGAACAUGAACUAAACUAGCUCUUUUAUUUGUAGGAAAUAAAGAAGAC